Cucumis sativus (cucumber) is the source of this 1835-nucleotide RNA transcript. It is a transcript of the gene named mitogen-activated protein kinase kinase 2, with no coding region annotated. The record is from RefSeq and is a predicted model, not a curated record. NCBI's taxonomy places the organism in Eukaryota, Viridiplantae, Streptophyta, Magnoliopsida, Cucurbitales, Cucurbitaceae. The transcript has 10 exons.
AAGUAAACGGUCCCGCAUCCUCCAAUCCAAUCCAACCAAGAACAGCCCUAUUUUUCUUUUUCUUUUCAAUGUUUAAAUCAGCUCUUAGUGUCACAAAAAUGGUGUAAUUAGGGUUUUUGAGUUUGGAUUUUUUGUAAAUUCUAUCAGUUUCAUUCUCAACUACUGCUCAACACUUGAUUAAUUCAUAUAUAUAAACAAAUUCUUGACAUUUCUCUGCAAUUAUCUCUCUCUUUCUCUCUCUACAUCGCAAAAGGCUUCAAUCCGAGUAUCAAUUCUACACGGUGGUAGUCUGGAAGAGAUCAGCCAUCAAUGAGGAAAGGAGGCUUCAGCAACAACCUCAAUCUCAAGCUCAAUCUUCCUAAAGAAGACCAAUCCAUAGCGACGUUCCUAACGCAGAGUGGCACGUUUAAAGAUGGUGAUCUGCUUGUAAACAGAGAUGGGGUUCGGAUUGUUUCUCAAAGCGAAGUUGAAGCACCACCUCCGAUUAAGCCUACAGAUGAUCAGUUGAGUUUAGCGGACAUAGACAUUAUUAAAGUCAUUGGAAAAGGAAAUGGUGGUACUGUGCAAUUAGUUCAGCACAAAUGGACUGCUCAGUUUUUUGCAUUGAAGGUAAUUCAGAUGAAAAUUGAAGAGUCUCACCGCAAGCAGAUUGCACAAGAACUGAAAAUCAAUCAAUCAGCGCAGUGCCCUUAUGUUGUUGUCUGUUACCAGUCUUUCUAUGAUAAUGGAUCAAUAUAUAUCAUCCUAGAGUACAUGGAUGGAGGAUCUUUAGCAGAUUUUUUAAAAAAGGUUAAAAAAAUUGAAGAACCAUAUCUUGCUGCCCUUUGUAAGCAGGUACUGAAGGGGUUGUCUUACCUUCACCAUGAAAGACACAUCAUCCAUAGGGACUUGAAGCCUUCAAAUUUAUUAAUAAACCAUAGAGGGGAAGUCAAGAUUACUGACUUUGGUGUGAGUGCAAUUAUGGAAAACACAUAUGAAGAGGCUAAUACUUUUGUUGGCACGUAUAACUAUAUGUCCCCAGAGAGAAUUGUGGGAGAGGGAUAUGACAAUAAAAGUGACAUUUGGAGCUUGGGUCUGAUAUUACUUGAGUGUGCAACCGGAAAGUUUCCUUAUUCUCCACCCGGGCAAGAUGGAGGAUGGGUUAAUUUUUAUGAGCUUAUGGAAGCCAUUGUUGAAGGCGAACCUCCUUCUGCUCCGGCUGACCAAUUUACUCCUGAAUUCUGUUCAUUUAUUUCUGCAUGUGUGCAAACAGACCCAAAGAAUAGACUGUCAGCACGUGAACUUUUGGAACAUCCUUUCAUCAAGAUGUAUGAAGAUAAGGAUAUUGAUCUAUCAUCUUACUUCAAUGAUGCAGGAUCUCCACUUGCAACUUUCUAAAUUUUAUCUGCAAGAUGAAGAUCAAACUUCUGACCUUUUAGGCCAUAUAAGAGCACACAAGGACAAGCGGCUUAGAUGAAACCUGUUUCAAACUUAUAUGUUGAUCGUCUCUGGCUCGUACACUGGAAUCUUAUUUGUUUGCUGCUUGCUGCAAGGAUGGACGAGGAGUCCGCUGGGAUCUCGGUUUCUCAUGAAUGCUGCUUGUUUUACUUCAGUUUGUGUCUUAAUGAAAGAGGUUUCAAUCAAAACUGGAUGAUAUAGUUGUUCCUAUGCUGGUCACUAAUUUGGAUGAUUCUGAUCCUUCUUGUGGAUGGCUCAGAAUGCUAAACGGGAUAUGAUGUUGUGUAAAGAGAUUUCAAAUCAUGGCCAUUUCUUGUAACAUUUUGUAAUCCAAUUCCACCGCUACUCAUGUAAAAUUUGAAGCAUCAAAGGAAAAUAAAUACAUAUUGUUAUCUCAA